GUCAUAUGCUUGUCUCAAAGAUUAAGCCAUGCAUGUCUCAGUGCAAGCCGUCCUGUACGGUGAAACCGCGAAAGGCUCAUUAAAUCAGUUAUGGUUCCUUAGAUAGUACCCACGUUACUUGGAUAACUGUGGUAAUUCUAGAGCUAAUACAUGCCGACAGAGUUCCGACCAGCGUCGCGGCGGCUUGCCGUUCGCGACGUUCGGAAGGAGCGCUUUUAUUAGAUCAAAAUCGGCCAAGCGCAACGUUCGCGUAGCGUUAGUGGCCCGCGCAAAGACUUGACGACUCUGAAUAACUUCGAGCUGAUCGCACGGUCUCGCACCGGCGACGUAUCUUUCAAAUGUCUGCCUUAUCAACUGUCGACGGUACGUUCGAUGCUUACCGUGGUGGUAACGGGUAACGGGGAAUCAGGGUUCGAUUCCGGAGAGGGAGCCUGAGAAACGGCUACCACAUCCAAGGAAGGCAGCAGGCGCGCAAAUUACCCACUCCCAGCUCGGGGAGGUAGUGACGAAAAAUAACGAUACGGG
This 525-nucleotide ribosomal RNA is filed under the name Aspidiotus nerii (oleander scale). RNAcentral describes it as "SSU rRNA". It matches the Rfam family "Eukaryotic small subunit ribosomal RNA", at positions 23 to 489 of the family's 1831-position model. Lineage: Eukaryota; Metazoa; Arthropoda; Insecta; Hemiptera; Diaspididae. The record is from RNAcentral.